UGACACAGGGUCUCAUGCAGCCCAAGCUGGUCUUCAGUCCUCUUUGUAGUCAAGGCUGGCCUUGAGCUCUGGAUCCUCUUGCUUCCAUCUCCUUGAGGGCUGCAUUUUCAGGCCUGUUCCACCACAUCAGGCCUUCAAAAUCUCAGCCAGUCUCUCUCAGCUACCCAGCCCUGGAACAAGACGCCAGCCUAUCUGAGCCUCGGAAGUACCUCUGAAGGAUGUCCUGACAGCAUGGAGCCCUCAGUGAACCACCUCUCUGAUCAGGGAGGUAUUACACCCAUAAUACGGAGGGAGAGGCAAAUCGAGGUCCAGAGGGGCAAAGUGAUAGGCCCUUGAUAACACGGCAUUAAGUGGCAGAGCUGGGAUUUGUGUUCUCGUUUUCUCCACUCACCUUGCGGCACUUCACCUGUGUUUUCUGCAUCUUCUGGAUAUGCAAGAGGUUCUCUGAGAUCUCAUCCUCCUGGGCUUCUGUUGGGGGAGAGUGCUCAGCGAACCUGGGGCUCAGCGGAGCCCCACCCCUUCCCGGCUGCGGGCCUCCAGGCACUCACGGAGCUUCUGAUAGAUGAAAGUCACCUCCUCCCGCACCAGCUCCAGUUCCUCCCACAGGAACUUCUUGCUAAGGGAAGAGAGGAGCCUAGACCCACAUUCCUAGCCCAUUCCCUAGGCCUCUAUGGCCUUCCCCUGUCCCCACCCCCACUACCUGACCCUCCGCCUACAGCCUAGGAAUCAGUCCUCAGCCCGAGGCUCCACCCAGUCCCAGACUCCGCCCACAGCCCCCGACUCCAUCCUCUCACCUUCCAGUCUACUUUCUUCCUACCAGGAUCUUCCUAGCCGUGUCAACUCCUCGUGAUUUUCACUCUCCAGCCUCUCCGCCCCGCUCAGUCUUCUGAGCCCCUGCCUCCUUCCCAGCCCACCUUCAGCUUGCAGUUUCCCUAAAGCUUCUAGCCACUCGUCCCCUCUGAGCGUCCUGCUCCUAAUGUUGUGUCCCCCAAAUCUUCCACUCCCAGCUCCGUUAAAUUCCUUCAGUGGUGGCCCGCUUGCUUGCAACCUCCACACUGCCCUCCUGCCCACACCCACCUGUCCC
Molecule: long non-coding RNA, 1084 nt
Organism: Meriones unguiculatus (Mongolian gerbil)
Lineage: Eukaryota; Metazoa; Chordata; Mammalia; Rodentia; Muridae
Exons: 3
Source: RefSeq, a predicted model, not a curated record